GAAACUAGUAAAUUAGUUCUUUAAAUAAAACAGAUGAAAAUUACAGCAGCCCAAAAUUCUGAAAAAGAUAGUUAACAUAUUACCAACAAAAAUCAGUUGCAAGAAAACAAUAAACAUUAAGCUCGUUUUCCAGUUCUAGGUGAAGACUUUGGGCAGAGAUCCCAUCGGCCUUUUGCACGUCUUCGCUGGAUAGUUGCUCUGCCACUGGUGGUGCUCAUACGCUUGCGAAAACCAUGUGUUCGAGCCAACGACUUCCUCGACCUAUUCCUCUUAGUCUGACAAAGAGCAUACUUCUUUGCCUGCACCACCAGGCCACGCCUUUUAGUGGUGCUCACUCCAAUGUUGGAAUUGAAGCCAAUGCCAAAUGAUGAACCAGAAAAGGAUGUUGAAGAAGAUAAUGUAGAGAGUGCAGAGGAAGGAAGAAAAGAGCAGUGAAGCAACCCAGAAUGAGUAGAGGCAUUAGCAGCCAUUUUCAAAGAAACAGAAGUAGUCGUUGUUGAAGAACCAGUACGUAGAGAAAGCGAAGCGGAUGGUCUGUGGUUUCCUAUUCCUGAACAUACCCAACUUCCCAUUGACAAAGAAGCCAUUUUUU
RNAcentral lists this unclassified non-coding RNA (592 nucleotides) under Hevea brasiliensis (rubber tree). The record is from RNAcentral. Lineage: Eukaryota; Viridiplantae; Streptophyta; Magnoliopsida; Malpighiales; Euphorbiaceae.